Molecule: long non-coding RNA, 18078 nt
Filed under: Panax ginseng (ginseng)
Lineage: Eukaryota; Viridiplantae; Streptophyta; Magnoliopsida; Apiales; Araliaceae
Description: long non-coding RNA (PGIN_LNC004717)
Source: RNAcentral
GGUUCUCCACGAUACCAUUUCUUUAAGCUGAAUAAUAUUAAAUAAUAAUAUAAUUCGAACUUAAUUUACAUACAUCAAAGUUUCCUUUCCCAGGUACGUGACCUUCAAAUACAUUCCUUACAAUAUCUGACAAUAGAUUCCAUUGUCUUACUAACUAUAACCAUUAACUCAUACUAAUUCUCAUUCGAACAGCUUUUCUUUUCCCUUGUUCAUGCCUGAGCCUUCAGGUCGAUCGUACGUAACUGAAAACAUUUAGUUUAAGCAAGGAUGAGCAUUUGAGUGCCCAGCAAGUAAUAGCAAUUAUAUAUAUAAGCUGAAAGAAUAUAAGUAUUCUCUUUCCAUAACACUUCUACAACGAAUCGAAAGUUGUGAAGUAAUCUGUACUGAUAAAACAUUCACAUAACAACUCUCCUUCAAAUUCUUGAAAUGAGGCUCCGGCUCUACCCAUGAAUAGGGUUUAAGAAACAUACUAUGAACAUUGUUUUUCAUUUUCGAAAAGGUUUAGCAGAAAUUCAUCCGUAAACCGUCAUAACUUACGGGCACGGAGGGUGAUCAGCCCCGUUGUACCCUGUAUUGAUCAAUACUACAUAACUUGAACGAAAUUCAUCGCUCACCCUUUGUCCGCCGAAGCGCAUAAAAAUUUUCCCAUUAUCGGGAUGUUCAUACAUGCCUGGUUCCAAACCCGAAGGUUUUUAAUCUUGCUCAACAAUAAUAUGUAAUUCAACAUAUAUGUAUACGGGUAAUUGACAAAGGUAUAUCAACAUGUGAAUAAAUGCCAUGAUUAUCCAAGUGGGGACACUUGUAUAACCAUUUAGAAAUCAACUUAACAGAAUAUAUAUCUGAGCUAACAUGUUGAUAAUCAAAGCGUACAUAAUCUGUACAGGAAUAGAAUAAUUCUGAAACUUCUUACUCAUGUCCAUUGCAUAAAGGAAAUGCAAAGGUAAGAUACUUGCCUGAUUCGCUGAUUACAAAUCUCAACUUAGGUUUUAUCUCUUUAUCACAACCUAUCAAUAAUCAGAUCAUUCGUUCGAUUAGAACAAUAUAUCAUAACACAUAGUACUGUCUAUUACAGUCAGCACAUAGUCUAAUCACGUCAUCACAUAAUCGCAGUGAUCAUACUUUUAGUUCAUAUUCUAUACUUGAAAUAUUUUUAUACAUUUUUCAAAUAUCUCAUCCAUGCUCUUACAGAAGUCUUUUCUUUCUAUUAUAGGGUCUGACAUUUGUCGGCGUACCGACAGCUUUAUCGGGUAAAUACUGAGUCUAAGACUCUUAUCCUAUACCUCAACAUCUGUAAAUAUCAAACAUUUUAUUUUUAAUCAUUUUCGAAUUUUCCAGAAAUUGAAAAAUUUAAAAUAAUUCAAAUCUGUCACUACCGGGCCUAUAGUGAUAUAACUGUUACUAUAGGUGUUCCUCAAAACUUCAUAACUUCAUAAUCGGUUCUCAAGUCAGCUAGUUUGGCCGGCUAUAACUUUCAAACAUCGGAAUCAUAAUUAAAUGAUUUAAACAUUAAACAAUUCCAUUAUCAUUAAUAAUUAAUUUAUAUUAAACUAUUAAUGAAACCAUUGCCAAAAUAUAAAAGUUAUUUAUAAUAACUCAAACUAUUUUUAAAACAUUUAUAUUACCCUUAAAUGAUUUUUAAAACAAUUAAAAUCAUUUUUAAAUAAUCACCAUUAAUAUAUAAAUAUUAAUGUACUAUUCAUCCAAAUAUUAAAAGUCAUUAAUUAUAACUUAAAAUAUUUUUAAAUCCUUAAUAUCCUCUUUAAAUGAUUUUUAAAUAAAUAAAACCAUUUUUAAACUAUUUAUUUAAUAAUAAUUAUUAAAUAAACUAAAUAUCAUUAAUAUUAUCUUAAUAUCAUUAAUAUUAAAUUAUUAAUGAAAUUAUCCUUUAAAUAUUAAAAGUUAUAUUUUAUAACUUAAAAUAUUUUUAAAUACCUUAAUUUCAUUUAAAAUGAUUUUUAUAAUAUUAAAAUCAUUUUUAAACUAAAUUAUUUAAUAUAAUCAUUAAAUAACUUUAAUAUCAUUAAUAUAUAAUUAAUUAAUGAAAUUCAUCACAAAAUAUUAAAAGUCAUGGGAAAUAACUUAAAAUAUUUUCUUAUACCAUAAUAUAAUUUUUCAUGAUUUUUCAUGAAUUAAAACUAUUUUUAAAUCAUUUAUUUAAUAUUAUAAUUAAAUAAAUAAAUACCUUUUAUAUUCCAAAAAUAUUAAAUAUUUAUGAAAUAUACUCAAAAUAAUUAAAAACUAUUUUUCAGACUUUAAAAUAAUUUUUCAUAAUUUAUUUGGUAUUUUUAAUAAUUAAAAUCUAAUUUUUCUAAUUUUUAAAUCAUUUUUCGGAAAAUCAGAAAUUAAAAUAAUUAAAACUGUCGCUAAAGGCCCCUAUAGUGACAGAAGUGUCGCUAUAGGUGUUCUUGAGCCUACCCAGAUCUUCAUAAGGCAGAACCGAGUGGCCUACUUUGACCGUGAAUAACUCUCUCAUCUUAACGAAUUUGGACAAUCUAUAAAUUGGGUCUUGUAGAGGAAAUACAAGACUACAAGAUCCAACAAUCAUAACCUCUAAACAAACAUCAGAUCUGGGAUAAAUCAGCCAUCAAAGUAGCUACCAAAGCUGUUCUUCACGAAGAACAGUUCGAGGUGCCUACUUUGGACCUCUAUAACUUGAUGAUCGUGUAACGUUUAUGUGAUCUAUCAAUUCCAGUGUGUAGACAACAUGUAGGACUACAACUCUAACACUUAACAUCAUCAUAAAAACAAGAAAUCAAGCAUCUAAAGUAUGGUCAAACCUUGUCAGAAAAAUUAACACUUAGAAAAUUCUGGGCUGCCCAGAAUUUUCUGGUCAAUGCCGGUCAACCCACUUUGACCUUAAAUAACUCUUAAUCCGUAAUAUAUAUGGACCUGAUUCUUUUUGGAGGUUAAAUACCACAUAACAAGAUACACAUAUCAACCUUUAGAACACAAAACACAUUAAAGAUAACCGAGAUAUAAGGCCUGACAUUUUCCAAAAUAAUAUUUUCUGGACACUUAGAAUAUUUUCUGGGUUUGAAGAACAGCCGGUCAAUGCCGGUCAACCCACUUUGACCGCUUAUAAAUCCCGAUCUACAAUAGCUAUGAACUUUAUUCCUUUUGGAGAUUAAAGACCACAUAUCAGGCUACCUAUAACAACUUUUAAAAAACAAAACUCGAGAUCGACCAAAGAUUUAUAGCCUCUGACAUUUGGUGAAAAAUAACAGAAUUCGGUUUUUCCAACUUGUUUAAAUCUUCAAAUUCGUGCACUUUGAUGUUAUGGGUUCAUGAUUUUACAACCCAGAACAUUAAUAGACUCUCUAUUACACUACUUUAAACAAUCAAUUGCAUCAAUUAACAUCGAAUCGAAGGAUUUCUAGAAUUUAGGAUUUCCUACCUUUUCAAGCUUGAUUUUUGAUUUCUGGCUUCUUGAUGCUUCUGAUUUGUUGUUUGUGAUGGUUGGGCUUUGUUUAGGGACUGAUAUGCUACAAUAAUUCGUAGGUUUUAGAGAGAGAAGCUUAAGGAUGAGAGUUGGAUGAAUUUUAGUGUACAAAAUAUAUUAUCUCUCUCCAAUCUAUAUAUAAACCAAGUUAGAUGCAUUGGAUGCUACUCAAUGGUUGAUUGAAUCUGCAUAAUUGAGUCUUGGAUGCUUAAUUGGUAGGGUAAGUAUGUUUGCCAUGCUUUGCUAGCAAGAUUCCUCCAAUAAUACACUAAUAAUACACUAAUAAGCCAAAAAGGGUAUUUUGGUAAUUUCGCAUAUAAUUUCAUGGGCAUUUUUGUACAUAGCAAUUAAAUGUAGUAUUUAAUCACUAGAUGGUAAUUCUUAUCAUUUACCAAUUACUUUCUAUCCUUUGGUAAAUUAAAACAUUUAUACAAUAACAUCGUAAUUAAACCCAAUAAUUUUAAAUUAGGGUUUUGAUUAAAAAAUUAGGGUUUUCUAAUUAGGGUUUCUUAACGCCAUCAAUUAGGGUUUCUAAUUGACCAUUAGGGUUCUCUAAUUAUCUGUGUAUGUUCUAACACAGUCAUUACGAUCUCUAACUUCAACCGAUUAGGGUUGUAAUAAUUAGGGUUUGUCCUAAUUAUCGACAAACAACAGUAAUUAGGGUUUUCUUCUAAUUACCGACAUCUUAUACACAGUAACCUUCAUAUACACAGUAAACUUCAUAUACACAGUCACUACUCAGUCAUUUCUCAUAACUAAGUUUAAUAAUUAGGGUUUCACAGCACGGUAAUAUGCUAUGACCUAAUUGACCGUCAUUGCUCAAUAUUAUCUGCCUGCACAUACACAGUACAUAAUUAUUGUACUGUAAAAUCAUUAUAAUAAUAAUAUAAUAUUAUUAUUAUCAUCUCUUGACCAUAAUCCCAAUUCAGGGUUUGGAUCUCAUAUCUGACUUCUCUUUCUUACACAGCAUCAAUAAUCAAGUUAAAAUAGUUAACUUAAUUAUUCUGAACAAAUCAUAUAAUAAAAUAUUUAUUAUAUAAUUCCAAUUAUCACUUCAUAUAUUAUUUCCAAUCGUGUUAUCAUGGAAAAUAAUUAAUAAAAAUAUUUCUGCUUACAGAAAUUAAUUACCAUAAAAUAUAAUUUGUAGUAAUUAAUAAUUCCAAAAUUAUUUCUAAUUUUUAAAGAAAUAAAUAUAUUCGUAUUUAUCCUUCACUUUACUAGACACUUAUUCUCGUCAUUAAAUAAAUAAAUAAAAAAAUUAUACGCAAAAUUUCUUAUUUAUUUUAUAUAGAAAAUCUCGGGUUAUUACAGAAAUACGUGAAUAGUGUUUUUUAGAAAAUUUCUCGGAAAGCUUUUGUUUUCGUCUUGGAAAUUCAAACACUUUAAUUAUACCACAUAGCCAAAACUACGACAUUCCGAUAUGUCUAGGUCAUAGAACGAUCUUCAAUUAGCUUACUUCAAUAAAUAAUUAAUUAAAUUCCUUUAAUCCACAUAAUCAAAAUAAAAAUUUAAUUCUCCAAAAAUCCAAAUUUUCUAGGGCGUUACACUCAAUCUCAUUACCUACAAUCAUACAUAGACCAAAAUCAGAGCGAGCAUUAUGGAGAGUGAACAAGAAAGCUUCUAUUGAUACAAGUCUACUAACUAAUUAAUCGUCUAAUAAAUUACAAAAAAUGACAACUAAGUAUUGACACUGAUAAGUGGGUUUUAUACCUACUUAUUGGAUAUCAAUUAACACGAACUAUGCCCAUCUCAAGUACAUUUUAGUGUGUUUGUAGUUGCAUUUUGUAAUAUUUUGUAUUGCAUGUACUAAGAACUCCUUUGGUGUAAAAGUGCAGGAUAUGGCAUAACUUGGUGAUUGUAGAUGGCAUGUGAUCAAUGAAGGCACAACAUGAGGAUCGAGUGGAGCAAAGAAACCAAGCAUUGGUAGACAAAAGAAUGAGCAGCAUGACAAGGAUGAACAGCAGGACAAAGCAGUAGCAGCAACAGUAGAACACAGAAUCAAAACUGCAGAAGCCGCGCGUCUACACUGGCAUAAACUCGCGCGCCCGCGCGAUCAACCGGAUGGACCAGACUUUGGACACGCGUGCCCGCACGAUGAUUAUGAAGGGGAAGCGUGCGCCCGCGCGCGACAUCUGAGGCUGCUGAUCCGUUUUAAUUUAAUUUUUAAAUUUUAAGAGUUGGAGUCGGUUAAAACAAUUCUGGUUGGUACCAGACGUAUCAUUCAUUCAGUUUUACGUGUUUUUUAUAUUGUGAACUAGGGUUUACACUUUGAGAGAAUUCCAACGUAGAACUAAGCAUAAUUUCCAUAUUUUCUACUUCUUCUUUUGGAUUUCAAUCACUGUAAAUAAACUACUGUUAUUUUGUUGGAUUUUAUUGAGGAUUUGAACGUUACGAUUGGAUUAUAAUCAGCAAUUGGGUUUGAUCGAUUCUAUCUUUUCUCUUUCAAUUGUUUGCUUAAUACCCAUGUAUUUCUUUGAUCCCAUAAUGGCUUUUGGUUCAGUCAUGAACUAAACUCCAUUAUGGGAUUCUAACGGAUUUUAAUACGUAGUCUAACUUAUGGCCUGAUUGCUGGAUUGUUUUGCGUAUCAUAAGGAAUUUCUAUCAUGGUUAAUUUGUAUGCAUGAAUGAUUAAUCACCAUUUGUUUUAAGUGCUUGUAUGAAAUUGAAAAAUAACAUGCGAGUAUGGAUUGUAAUCAUGAUAGCAUGCGUAUAUGGGGCUGUUUUGUGUAGCUUUGUAUUUCGUGAAUCAGAUAGACAUAUACUGUUUCACCGUAUGAGUUAAAUAAGGGCUUGUGCUUAAAUUCAAUACGGUUGCAAUUUCACAUAGAAAUAUAGUGAGAUUGGCUUUGUUGAUGAUUACAUGGUGUCUAUUGCAUGUGGAUGCUAUGUGAGUACGUCAUAAUACAUUGAAAAAUGGUUAUGUCUACAUUACUGCUCUUGGCUAAUUUUUUGUGAUAAGUGAUUAUUCUUGCAUGUUGGUGAUAGUUAGAUGAACUAUUAAAUGAAGUUAGGAUCCCAUUAUUUCCAGAUUUGAUUUAUUACAAUUUUAUUCAUCUUUUAGUUGUUAUUUGAUUUUAGAGUAAUUUACAAUCAUAAUCAUAAUUUUUAGUUUAAGCAUAUAAACAUAGUGAUUUAGUUGAUGCAUAACAAUUUAAUUGAGCAACUUUCUCCGUGGAUCGAUACUCGACUUACUCUGUAUUGCUUGUUGAUACAUGUAUAAUUGCAUGAGUUAGAGAUCUUUUGUUUGAACUAAAAAAGAGGCAACAAGUUUUUGGCGCCGUUGCCGGGGAAAGGCGUUUAAAUUUAAAUAAUUAUAAUCAAUUUUAAGCUAUAUUGUAUGACUUAGACAAAUCUAAUCGUUUCUCAUUUCUAUUUUUGUUUUUGUUUUGGUUUCAGGUACUUGUAGAAUUUUUAUGCACACAUGAUCGUCCAACUCAGAAUUGAUACCAGCAUAGGAUAAUAUUAACGGAAGAGGUUGGAAAGUGAGUGUGCAGAGAAAUUUGCAAGCACAGUUAGAGGGUACUACAUUUAGUAUGGCAGAAGAGCACAGAGUAGAGCGAAGAGAAGAGCACUGGGCUCUAAGAGACUAUUCAAUGCCAAAUAUUAUUGGACUUCAGUCUAGCAUAGUCAGAUCGGCAAUAACUACAAAUACUUUCGAGAUUAAACCGGGCACUAUUCAGAUGGUGUAAAAUUCAGUACAGUUUGGGGGUGCUGUUACAGAUGAUCCGAAUGAACACCUAUUGAGCUUUAUUGAGAUUUGUGAUACAUUCUGAUACAACGGGGUGACGGAGGAUGCCAUUAGACUUCGGAUGUUUCCAUUAUCUUUGAGGGAUAAAGCGAGAAGUUGGCUUCAUUCUUUGCCUUCAGGAUCAAUUACUACAUGGGAGGACCUAGCACAGAAGUUCUUAGCCAAGUUUUUCCCAAUGGCUAAGACUGCGAAGAUGAGGACAACUAUCUCUUAGUUUGAGCAACAACAUGGUGAAUCCUUAUACGAAGCUUGGGAGAGAUAAAAAGAGAUGCUAAGGAAGUGUCCGCACCAUGGUAUGCCAGACAGUGGCCUUAACAGAGGAAUGCAGUGCAGUGCUUCAGCGUAAACUACCUCCAAAGCUGAAAGAUCCGGGCAGUUUCACAAUUCCAUGCACGAUCGGAAAGAUGAACUUUGAUAAAUAUUUGUGUGAUCUUGGGUCAAGUAUCAAUCUGAUUCCCUUGUCAGUGUUACUCAGUUGGGAUUGCCGGCUCCAAGGCCGACAAACAUUUCUUUGCAGCUAGCUGACAGAUCCAUCACGUAUCCAUGGGGAAUUGUUGAAGAUGUAUUGGUGAAAGUGGAUAAAUUUAUCUUUCUGACUGACUUCAUCAUCUUAUAUUAUGAGGAAGACAAGAGUAUACCAAUCAUACCGGGGAGACCAUUCUUAGCCAUGGGUAGGACUUUGAUAGACGUGCAAAAAGGGGAACUCACUAUGCAUGUACAUGAUCAGGAAGUUACCUUUAACGUCUUCAAGGCAAUGAAGUUCCCAACAGAUGAAGGAGAAUGCUUUCGGGUUGAUUUGGUGGAUCGGGUUCUAAAUGAUGAAGUACAGAGUCUAGUGGAUUAUAAACCAUUGAGGAGUAUCAUUGCUGAAAAUUCAGAAUUGGAGGAUGAGGAAUUCGACGAACUUGUGCAAUAUCUGGAUACCACUCCAUAAUUCAAAAUAUUCAGAACACCUGUCGAGUCAUUAACGAAUGUUGGAGAGACAUCGGUAAAUUAAAGCCAUCUCUUGAGACACCUCUAGAACUUGAAUUAAAAUCACUUCCAGAACAUCUCAGGUACACAUUUUUAAAUAAAGAUUCGAAGUUACCUGUAAUUAUUUCUUCUGCACUAACAUCCUUUUAGGAAGAAAAACUGCUACGAGUGCUUAGAGAGUUCAAAUCAGCUAUUGGAUGGACCAUAGCAGAUAUCAAAGGGAUCAGCCCUUCGUUUUGCAUGAAUAAGAUCUUGCUGGAAGAUGGUAGUAAGCCGUCGAUUGAGCAACAAAGAAGGCUUAAUCCGAUAAUGAAAGAAGUGGUCAAGAAAGAGGUACUGAAAUGGCUGGAUGCAGGCAUAAUCUAUCCGAUUUCAGACAGCUCAUGGGUGAGCCCAGUGCAGUGUGUACUGAAAAAGGGUGGCAUGACCGUAGUGACUAAUGAGAAUAAUGAGUUAAUUCUAACACGAACCGUGACAGGGUGGAGAGUCUGCAUGGACUAUCGCAGGCUCAACAAAGCUACGAGGAAAGAUCAUUUUCCACUACCAUUCAUUGUUCAAAUGUUGGACAGAUUAGCAGGUCAUGAGUAUUAUUGCCUUUUAGACAGUUAUUUAGGCUACAAUCAGAUUAUGAUAGCUCUAGAAGACCAGGAAAAGACUACCUUCACAUGUCCAUACGACACUUUUGCUUUCAGAAGGAUGUCUUUUGGGUUGUGCAACGCUCCAGCCACCUUUCAGAGAUGCAUGAUGGCUAUAUUUUUGGAUAUGGUGGAACAGAAUGUUGAGGUAUUUAUGGAUGAUUUCUUAGUCUUCGGGGACUCUUUUGAUCUAUACCUCGAAAAUUUUGUAAUGGUUUUGAAGAGGUAUGUUGAGACAAAUCUAGUGCUGAAUUGGGAAAAGUGCCAUUUCAUGGUACAAGAAGGAAUCAUACAGGGACACAAAGUUUCAAAGAAGGGACUCGAGGUGGAUAGGGCUAAGCUGGAAACUAUAGAGAACUUGCUACCACCUACUUCAGUAAAAGGUGUUCGCAGUUUUCUGGAACAUGCAUGGUUCUACCACAUAUUCAUCAAGGACUUCUCCAAGAUAACUAAACCACUAUGCAGUUUAUUGUAGAAGGAUGCACAGUUUAAUUUUGACGAGGCUUGCAUGUCGGUAUUUGAGCACUUAAAGGGGAAACUAACUUCAGCACCAGUGAUUACUGCACCAGAUUGAGAUUUGCCAUUUGAGCUGAUGUGUGAUGCCAGUGAUUACGCUGUAGGGGCUAUUUUGGGGCAGAGGAAAGAGAAGAUGUUUCAUGUGAUAUAUUAUGUCAGCAAGACCCUUACAGAUGCACAGUUGAACUACACCACCACAAAGAAAGAACUAUUGGCAAUGGUGUAUGUCUUUGACAAAUUUUGAGCAUAUCUGAUUGGCACAAAGGUGAUAGUGUACACGGAUCAUGCAACAAUUCGACAUUUAGUAGCAAAGAAAGAUAUAAAGCCCCGGUUGAUCAGAUGGAUUUUAUUACUGUAAGAAUUUGAUUUGGAGAUCAAGGAUAAAAAGGGCACUAUAAACCAAGUGGCGGACCACUUAUCACGACUAAAGAAUCCGGAAAGGGAGGCAGACGACAAAGUUGUAAUCAAUGAAGCCUUCCAGAUGAGCAGUUGUUUGUGGUGAAAGGGGAAGUGCCAUGGUUUGUAGACUACGCGAACUAUUUGGUUAGUAAGAUGCUACCUUCUGACUUGGUGGGUCAUCAAAAGAAGAAAUUUCUGCAUGAUGUCAAAUGGUAUAUCUGGGAUGAGCCUUAUUUGUUUAAAUAGUGUGCUAAUCAAAUGAUAAGAAGGUGUAUCCCGUAUAGCGAGACCGAGGGAAUUUUACAGGAUUGUCAUUCUUCGGUGUAUGGGGGUUACUAUGGUGGAGAGCGAACAGCGGCUAGAGUGCUACAAGCAGGACUCUGGCCGACAAUUUUCAAGGAUGCCUACAGUUUCGUCCAGCAGUGUUAUAGAUGUCAGAGAGUGGGGAACAUCUCAAAAAGAAAUGAAAUGCCCUUGAAUACGAUCCUCGAAGUAGAAAGUUUUGAUGUGUGGGGGAUUGACUUCAUGGGCCCUUUUGUUUCUUUCUGUGGAAAUCUCUGCAUCUUGCUUGCAGUGAAUUAUUUGUCGAAAUGGGAAGAAGCGGCAGCUCUUCCGACAAAUGAUGCCAAGGUAGUCCCCAGGUUUUUAUAUAGAAGUAUCUUCACUAGGUUUGGGACUCCAAGGGCCAUCAUCAGUGACAAAGGCAGUCAUUUCUGCAACAGGCAGUUCACAGCUUUGUUGGCUAAGUAUGGGGUGAACCAUCGCAUUGCUACAACUUAUCACCCACAAACGAAUGGCCAAGCUGAAGUGUCAAAUCGAGAAGUUAAAAGAAUCCUUGAAAAGGUUGUGAAACCCACGAGGAAGGACUGGUCGUUAAAGUUGGAUGAUGUAGUAUUGGCCUAUAAGACUGCAUACAAAACUCUGUUGGGCAUGUCACCUUUUCAGCUCGUGUAUGGAAAAGCCUGUAACCUUCCUAUGGAGCUAGAGCAUAAGGCAUAUUGGGUAAUUCGGAAGCUCAAUUUUGAUUUGAAAGCUACAGGGGAGAAACGCCUACUCCAACUUAAUAAGUUGGAUGAAUUCAUACUACAGGCAUAUGAGAAUUCAAAGAUGUACAAGGAGAAGGUGAAGAAAUGGCAUGGCCGAAAGAUCAUAGAGAGGACAUUUCAACCAGGACAAAGGGUUUUACUUUAUAACUCCAGACUUAAACUUUUUUCUAGGAAGCUGAAAUCAAGAUGGUCAGGGCCAUUUACAGUGAAGACUGUCUUUUCGCAUGGUGCAAUUGAAGUAUUUGAUAAGUUUCCGGACAAGCCUUUUAAGGUGAGUGGACAGCGACUGAAUUAUUACUUUGGUGGCGAGGUGGAUAGACAGAAAGUCACCUCAAUUCUUUCUUCAACAUGAGAUUCCGAGACAGUCAAGCUAAUUGACUAUAACUUAGCGCUUGAUGGGAGGCAACCUAUUAUUUCUAUCUCUAUUUUCUUUUUUAUUUAUUUAGUUUAGGUUGCUUUAGUUAGUUCAUUUCAUUUCAUUUGUGAUAGAUUGUUAUGUUUUGCAUAAGUGAGUGUGUAUUUGAAUCUACAUUGGACUGUGUUUUAGUAUAGUACAGAGUUUACUUGGUCAUUUAUGCUUAUUCCAGAGUUCACACGUUGACAUGGGUAAUUGGUGUUAUGCAGGUGAAUGGAAGAGAAGGCAUCACUAUUUUGAAGAUUGGGAGUUAAAAUUGGUAGUACAGGAUUUAGAGACGCGCGACCGCGCCUGGAACAGCUUGAGAAAUCGCGCGCCCGUGCCACAUGUACAGUGCAAAGUUGCACAGCCGCGCGCGAUACUGGGCAGUGAAAAUUUUUUAGGUUUUAAAACAGGUGUUUGACUCAAUUCUUCUCUCAUUUGAAAUCAUAACAGAAGGGAGUAUGCUCUUGCUCGCCUCCACAUGCACGUCUCUUCCUCUCUAUCAUUUACAAAUUGAAUGCCCCACAUCUCCAUCCGUUCAUCUCACUCCAUAUUGUGCGCAUCAGUUACCUCCUACCCACAACCAUCAUAUACACUGCUAUAAACUAGGGUUUCAGAGUGGGUUGUGCGAGAAUUAGUUUGGGGGUAAUAAACUCUGCGGCUAUCAUUCAGUCUCAAGCAAAUCUUCGUAUUCUCUAUCAAUUUAAGAUGGGUCCAAAUAGAGCACGUUCUUCUUCUUCUACAUCGUCGUCAUCCUAUAGCAGUCAAGGGGAGGAUGUAGUGGAUCAUACCAAAUUUCUGAGUUUGGAAGCACAAACAGAGUAUUACAAAUUUGUAGCCAAAACAUUUGUGAAAGAAAGGGGAUUCAAACCGGAGAAACAGGAUUGUCAGCUAUGGCAGAUGAUUUAAGAGAGGGGCUGGUUUGGAUUUACUACCACUCCUACGCCUAUUCCGAUGAUUAUAGUCCGAGAGUUCUAUGCCAAUGCUAAAGUCACCAUGAGCGGUCUAUCUAUGGUUUACGGUUUUGAAAUAGAUUUCAGACCUCCUACCAUCAGAGCAGUUUUCUGGAUUACUGACACACCACCAACUUGGUUUGCCAAUUGGGUCGAAGGUGCACAUUUGGAAACAGACUUGGAAAUGGUUAUCGCAGAGUUGUGCAUGCCAGGCACGAAGUGGACUUAUAAAGCUGGCGCGAAUCAGCCUCGCAUGUUCCCAGCCGCAGCCUUAAAUCGAUACGCAAAGGCGUGGAAUUUGUUCAUAUGUGCAAAACUAGUUUCAUCUUCGCAUCAACAUGAAAUCACAGCGGAGAGGGCAAUCAUCCUGAGGGCAUAAUUACCGACAAAUACAUUGAUGUGGGCCACCUAAUUCACUAAAAUAUGCUACGUUAUCUGCGGGGAAGUACUACAGGGAGUAUUCUACACGCGUCGGUUGUGGCUAUGUUGUGUGCUCAUCAGGGCUGUCAUUGGGACAAUGAACAGAUGCAAAACCCGAGUCAAGAUAUCACUCACGCAACCAUUGAGAAAUUUGAGGAUUGGGUAGGAGGUGCACCGCACCCGGGAGGAUGAGGGUUCAUCAUGCAGCCUACAUUCGCAACACCUCCACUACAGCCCUCCUAGACAGAUGAGGUGGGCCCGUCAACUUAAGCAGCUGCUGACACUGGGGAUCUAUAGCUCCGAAGGUUGGAGCGCAAGGUCGAUGCCAUGUACGAAAACUUUGCAGUGUUUGCUACGGGUUUGAUGAGGUCAUUGGCAGAGGCAUUUGCACUACAAGGGACAACGCUUGAGUGGCCUCAGUUUGGGACAGCCAUGCCAUAUCCACCACCGGAUUCACCACCCGAAGAGGGUGGUGCAUCUGAGCAUUAGUGGAGUUUUCUUUAACCCCUUUACCUUCAUUCACUGGGACAAUGAAUAUUAUAAGUUUGGGGGUAUUGGGGUAGUAAUGUAGUUGCAUAUAGUUUGUGCAUGUUUAGUUUAAAUUUUCAUAUAGUAUGUGCUUAUUUAGUUUAUGUUUAGUUUACAUGUGGAAUGUUUAUGGUUAGAUGAAAAAAAUUAGUUAUUAUUACUUGUGUUAGUAUAUGUUUAGUUGCAUUUUAUGUUUAGUGCAUGUCUCACAAGUUCUAGCUUUAUGGAAAUUUUGUCUAGCCUUUGAUGAAAGUGAAUUUUGAAGGAUUGUUGAAUAUUUUGGAUAACAUGAGCUUAGAUAUAAUGUUUUACACGAUGUAAUUCAUGUUGCUGUUUAGAUGCUUUCGGUUUGCACAGUCGUGUUCACAAUUGCUUGUAGGCAUACGAAUUAUGUGUUGCAUUGCUUAAUAGAAAAUGUUGUUUUAAAAAGAGAAAUGUGUGGAACAUGGACUUAGACUGUGCAAAACAUUGAUAUUCAAACUUUGGGAAAACAUGGGUAUAUGCUAUGCAUAAUAAUAAAAACAAAUAUAGCAAUAACGUGGCUAGUCUUAUUUUGGGGCCCUGGCUACUUGAGUAAGUACGCCCGUAGGGGUGUCUUAACACCUAGCGCCCUAAGGUCUUUCAUGGUUUGGGAGUCAUUGGUUGAAAGCUCGCUAAGGGGUAGUAGUGUUUGCCUAAUGGAAUGAGGCAUUGCACAAUCAUGUGAAAAAAAAAAGAAAAAAAAAUAAAAGAAGAAAAAUUGCAAUAAACACUGCGGGAAAUAGCGAAUAUCGCCCUCGUGAGUAGCAAUAAAGCAGUUAAGCCCAUUGUUUAACCUUAGUUUGUUUUGACAUGUUGGAACAAUCUUCGUUGCAUAAGUAUACAUGAGUCUUGAUUUAGACUGUAAUUUUCUGUUUUGAGCAGUUUAGCAUGUGUAUUCUUUGCUUAAAUCAAGUUUUGGUGAACACAACACACACACACAACAUCUCUAUAGCAUAUAUGAAUUACCUGAGUGUAUGAUAUUAUGCCUAUAGUUUGGUUUGAAUUUGUAUUCUUGAAUCUGGAUAAUUCGUUGAGGCAUUUUAGACUGAAAUUCUAUGAUAGCUGUAACAAUGUGAGACUCAUUUGCAUUAUGAUUUAGUUGCAUAUAUAGCAUGUCGUUGCAUUUUUAGUGUUUUAUGUUAUAUGCAUUGCUUGAGGGCAAGAAAUAGUUCAAGUUUGGGGGUAUUUGAUAAGUGGGUUUUAUACCUACUUAUUGGAUAUCAAUUCACGUGAACUAUGCCCAUCUCAAGUACAUUUUAGUGUGUUUUUAGUUGCAUUUUGUAAUAUUUUACAUUGCAUGUACUGAGAACUCCUUUGGUGUAAAAGUGCAGGAUGUGGCAUAACUUGGCGAUGGUAGAUGGCAUGUGAUCAAUGAAGGCACAACAUGAGGAUCGAGUGGAGCAAAGAAACCAAGCAUUGGCGGACAAAAGAAUGAGCAGCAUGACAAGGAUGAACAGCAGGACAAAGUAGUAGCAGCAGCAGAACACAAAAUCAAAACUACAGAAGCCACGCGGCUUCACUAGCAUAAACUCGUGCGCCCGCGCAAUCAACCGGAUGGACCAGACUUUGGACACGCGCGCCCGUGCGAUGAAUAUGAAGGGGAAGUGCGCGCCCACGCGUGACAUCUGAGGCUGCUGAUCUGUUUUAAUUUAAUUUUUAAAUUUUAAGAGUUGGAGUCGGUUAAAACAAUUUUGGUUGGUACCAGGCGUAUCAUUCAUUCAAUUUUACGUGUUUUUCAUAUUGCAAACCAGGGUUUACACUUUGAGAGAAUUCCAACAUAGAAUCAAGCAUAAUUUCCAUAUUUUCUACUUCUUCUUUUGGAUUUCAAUCACUGUAAAUAAACUACUGUUAUUUUGCUGGAUUUUAUUGAGGAUUUAAAUGUUACGAUUGGAUUAUAAUCAGCAAUUGGGUUUGAUCGAUUCUAUCUUUUCUCUUUCAAUUGUUUGCUUAAUAUCCAUGUAUUGCUUUGAUCCCAUAAUGUCUUUUGGUUCAGUCAUGAACUAAACUCCAUUAUUGGAUUCUAAAGGAUUUUAAUACGUAGUCUAACUUAUGGCAUGAUUGAUGGACUGUUUUGCGUAUCAUAAGGAACUUCUAUCAUAGUUGAUUUGCAUGCAUGAAUGAUUGAUCACCAUUCAUUUUAAGUACUUGUAUGAAAUUGAAAAAUAACAUGCGAGUAUGUAUUGUAAUCAUGAUAGCAUGCGUAUAUGGGGCUAUUUUUUGUAGCUUUGUAUUUCGUGAAUCAGAUAGACAUAUACUGUUUCACCGUAUGAGUUAAAUAAGGGCUUGUGCUUAAAUUCAAUACUGUUGCAAUUUCACAUAGAAAUAUAGUGAGAUUAGCUUUGUUGAUGAUUACACGGUGUCUAUUGCAUGUGGAUGCUAUGUGAGUAGGUCAUAAUACAUUGAAAAAUGGUUAUGUCUACAUUACUACUCUUAGCUAAUUUUCUGUGAUACGUGAUUAUUCUUGCAUGAUGGUGAUAGUUAGAUGAACUAUUAAAUGAAGUUAGGAUCCCAUUAUUUCCAGAUUUGAUUUAUUACAUUUUUAUUCAUCUUUUAGUUGUUAUUUGAUUUUAAAGUAAUUUACAAUUAUAAUCAUAAUUAUUAGUUUAAGCAUAUAAACAUAGCGAUUUAGUUGAUGCAUAAUAAUUUAAUUUAGCAACUUUCUCCGUGGAUCGAUACUCGACUUACUCUGUAUUUCUUGUUGACACAUGUAUACUUGCAUGAGUUAGAGAUCUUUUGUGACGCCCCCAAAAUAGGUAUACAUCACCCAUCUUGAGUCGCCAAAUACAUGGUACAUAAAUCAAAUACAACAUAAUUAUACAACUGUCGUGUAAAACAUAAACUGAGAGUUUAAACAAGAAUAUUGCCUUCUAGACAAUAUCCAUUCUCAAUGGAGUCCUCAUAGACAGUAUACAAACUCAAAUUCAGUCCUCAUUACAUUUAUUAUCACACUAUUUAACAAAAUGGUGAGGACUAUGCUAUCAUCUAGAAUGUCAAUCUGUUCCCCGACUCGUCCCAGCUAUAUUCUCAUUUCCUGAAGAGAACAGUGAAGAAAGGGUGAGCUCAACUAGCCCAGUAAGAAAUAUUAUGACUAAGAUAAUGCAGAAUAAAUUAUCAUUAGUCCUCAACAAUGUUAAACUGAUAAAAUACAAUAGACAUCAAGUUUAACUGCAGUAGAAUAAGUAAUCCAUUAAAAGAGUUAAGUAGAGAAUAAAAUCUACUAUCUUUUAUGAUUUAAAACGUUUUCAUCAAUUUUUAUAGCUGAGACUCAGCUUAAUAAAUAAUCCACAUCAUCCCUGCACUACGGCCAAGGAUAUUCAUUAGGGUCACGACCACAAAUUAUCCAUGCACUACGGGCCAAUGAGGACUUUUAUCACAUCAUUUUUAACAUUACGGUCAUGAUUAUAUCGAAUAAUCCCUGGUCAUAAUCAUACCAAGUCCAUCUAUGCACUACAGGCCACAGAUGACUUUCAAAAAAAAUAUAAAUAUGAGGAUGAUGAGAAUGAUAUAAGAAUUCAAUAAAACAAGUUCACGAAUUAAAUUAUCCAGGAGCUAAUAACGUCUAAAUUGUCAACAUGAUACUUCUUUGUAGAGUAAAAUUCAAGAAUGCUUAGAAGAAUAUUUCCAUGAAAAGAUACUGGAUGAAGCACAAAUAUCAAUGAUAUUCCACUAAUUUCAUGGAGUAUAGAAGUCAAAACUUUAACCAACUGAGUAUAAUAAAGAAUAGAAUAACAAAAGAAAUCACCAUGCAUGCGGUACUUAGCAUAGACAGGUUAUCAAAACAGAAUAAUAAGUAACGGAACCAGGUUCGGUGUAAAACACACAGACAGGAUAUUUCAACGGAAUAAUAAAGACGGAACCAGGUCCGGUGUAAACACACAGACAGGAUAUUCCAACAGAAUAAUAAAGAAUGGAAUAACAUAAGGAUUUCACCAAGUAUAGGGUAUGCUGCGUAUACAGGUUAUGUAUAGGGUAUGCCGCGUAUACAGGUUAUUCCAACAGAAUAAUAAAGAAUGGAAUAACAUAAGAUUUCACCAAGUAUAGGGUAUGCCUGGUAUACAGGUUAUGUAUAGGGUAUGCCGCGUAUACAGGUUAUUCUAACAGAAUAAUAAAGAAUGGAAUAACAUAAGGAUUUCACCAAGUAUAGGGUAUGCCGCAUAUACAGGUUAUUCCAACAGAAUAAUAAAGAAUGGAAUAACAUAAGGAUUUUACCAAGUAUAGGGUAUGCCGCGUAUACAGGUUAUGUAUAGGGUAUGCCGCGUAUACAUGUUAUUUCAACAGAAUAAAUAAGAAUGGAAUAACAUAAGGAUUUUACCAAGUAUAGGGGAGUCCGCGUAUACAGGUUAUUCCAACAGAAUAAAUAAGAAUGGAAUAACAGAAGUUCUCUUCAUGAAUAAGAAAGAAUAACACCCCUUACAGGUACAACAAAUAAUAUCCCUUACCGUAAAAGAUACUGGAUAUUGAAGUAGUGAAGUAGCAGAAUACUCUUCUUCUUUCUCUCUAUAAUUUCUCUCUCGAGAGUUUCAGUGAAUUCAUAAGAAAUAAUGAAGGAAUGAACUUCUAUUUAUAGAAAAACUGAGAGUGGAUCUUGGUCUUAACGAAGGGUCAAAAUGACUCUUGGUAAUAUUGAAGAGACAACUACUAUUUGUGAAGGGGUAAUUAACUCUUGGAACACCGAAGAGGCAAAUAACGCUUGGUAAUAUUGAAGAGACAACUACUAUUUGUGAAGGGGUAAUUAACUCUUGGAACACCGAAGAGGCAAAUAACUCUUGGUAAUAUUGAAGGGACAACAACUAUUUACGAAGGGGCAAUUAACUCUUUGUAAUAUUGAAGGGACAAGUUACUAUUAAGACUUUAAAUCAACGAUCCAUAUCGAUUUACUAUUCUAAUUUCAACCAACGGUCAGAAAAAUUAGCACAUCUCCUCAUGGAAUAAUAUUGUACCCAAAUAGCCGAGUAAACAAUACUAGAGUGAAUAGUAAUCAGGUGAAUAGUAACCCAUGAAUAG